Molecule: ribosomal RNA, 252 nt
Filed under: uncultured bacterium
Lineage: Bacteria
Description: partial 16S ribosomal RNA
Rfam family: Bacterial small subunit ribosomal RNA
Source: RNAcentral
UACGUAGGGUGCAAGCGUUAUCCGGAAUUAUUGGGCGUAAAGAGCUCGUAGGCGGUUUGUCGCGUCUGCUGUGAAAACUGGGGCUCAACCCCCAGCCUGCAGUGGGUACGGGCAGACUAGAGUGCGGUAGGGAGAUUGGAAUUCCUGGUGUAGCGGUGGAAUGCGCAGAUAUCAGGAGGAACACCGAUGGCGAAGGCAGAUCUCUGGGCCGUAACUGACGCUGAGGAGCGAAAGGCAUGGGGAGCGAACAGG